This 253-nucleotide ribosomal RNA is filed under the name uncultured bacterium. RNAcentral's name for it is "partial 16S ribosomal RNA". It matches the Rfam family "Bacterial small subunit ribosomal RNA", at positions 524 to 776 of the family's 1533-position model. The record is from RNAcentral.
UACGAAGGGGGCUAGCGUUGCUCGGAAUUACUGGGCGUAAAGCGCGCGUAGGCGGAACGUUAAGUCCGGUCUGAAAGCCCCCGGCUCAACCGGGGAGGGUGGCUGGAAACUGGCGUUCUUGAGGGCGAGAGAGGAGGGUGGAAUUCCUGGUGUAGCGGUGAAAUGCGUAGAGAUCAGGAGGAACACCCGUGGCGAAGGCGGCCCUCUGGCUCGACCCUGACGCUGAGGCGCGAAAGCCAGGGGAGCGAACGGG